GCAGCGAUAUUUCGAUUCAUCCUUUUCUUUCAAGGAUUUCAUAAUUGGACGUUGAACCCAUUUCAUAUGAUGGGAGUUGCCGGAGUAUUAGGUGCGGCUCUGCUAUGCGCUAUUCAUGGAGCGACCGUAGAAAACACUCUAUUUGAGGACAGUGAUGGUGCAAAUACCUUCCGUGCUUUUAACCCAACUCAAGCUGAAGAAACUUAUUCAAUGGUCACUGCUAACCGCGGAACAUAUCAACACGGAGUCUAG
RNAcentral lists this ribosomal RNA (252 nucleotides) under Triticum aestivum (bread wheat). RNAcentral's name for it is "partial small subunit ribosomal RNA". Lineage: Eukaryota; Viridiplantae; Streptophyta; Magnoliopsida; Poales; Poaceae. The record is from RNAcentral.